AUGUUUCUAUCCAAUUCGGUAAUCUUGAGAUCUGUCUUAAUAGUCUCUCUUAAUAGUCUUUCUAGGUCUUCCUCUACCUCUAGUUGUUUGAUUUAUUCUCCAUCUGAUCUACUUUCUUUGCAAAAAAAUUCACAACUCUUCUCUCUACAUGCUCAAUCCAUCCCGCAGGAUCAUCGCCUUUAA
Molecule: non-coding RNA, 183 nt
Organism: Vicia faba (fava bean)
Lineage: Eukaryota; Viridiplantae; Streptophyta; Magnoliopsida; Fabales; Fabaceae
Source: the annotation of a GenBank genome assembly